RNAcentral lists this long non-coding RNA (221 nucleotides) under Ananas comosus (pineapple). RNAcentral's name for it is "long non-coding RNA (ACOM_LNC030286)". The record is from RNAcentral. Lineage: Eukaryota; Viridiplantae; Streptophyta; Magnoliopsida; Poales; Bromeliaceae.
CAUCCAGGCCCUGGCAUAGCUGGUCACCUUGUCAUUCAGACUCCGGCAUAGUCUAUCACCUUGUCUUUCAGACCUUGACUCAAGCCGAGACUCGCCACAUAUUUCCGGUUGAUGAAUUGGCUCUGAUACCAAAUGUAACGGCCCAGCCCAUUAGCAACAAUAACUCGUUGGGCCCAAACACCGGCCCAAAAUGCUUAAGCCGAGUUAUUAUUACUAGUGUC